RNAcentral lists this unclassified non-coding RNA (200 nucleotides) under soil metagenome. RNAcentral's name for it is "partial contains internal transcribed spacer 2 and large subunit ribosomal RNA". The record is from RNAcentral.
AGCGGCUGGUCUUAAAUGCAUUAGCUGAUCCAUGCUUGUGUACUUGGUUCUACUCGGCGUGAUAAUUGUCUGACCGCUGAGGACAUUUGCCUUGCGCGAAUGGCCAGGUGUGCCUUGGGUUGCUUCCAACCCCGGUCUUUGCACCGGAACGACCUUUCAAAUUUGACCUCGAAUCAGGCGGGACUACCCGCUGAACUUAA